Molecule: long non-coding RNA, 424 nt
Organism: Nematostella vectensis (starlet sea anemone)
Lineage: Eukaryota; Metazoa; Cnidaria; Anthozoa; Actiniaria; Edwardsiidae
Exons: 3
Source: RefSeq, a predicted model, not a curated record
UGUUUUUCACAAAUUACUAAUACUUAGGGUUUUAGGAGACUAGCUCUCAAUUUCUUUAAGGUUUUAGGAAACCAGUUCUCUAUUUCUUUCUCCAAAGAAAGCUGGAGUUUACCCAAGUAAUUCAUUUAAGCCUAAAAUCGGAUGAAAUACAGCAAAUAUGUGGGGGAAAAACAAGAGAGCCAAUGCGGAUGAAUACAGAGAAUGUAUGAACAUUCUCACAAAAAUUAGGUUUAUGAUGAGGUCAAAAAUCUUGUGACAGAGUUGACAGCUCUGGUAACUUAUAUUCAAUUCAUUCAUGAAUAGUAGUUAUAAUUUUCCUAUGAUAGCUGGUGAAUGGCAGAUUUAGAGAUCGAAUUUGAUAAAUACAGCCUAGAAUAUUUAUUCCCUGAGGUAAGUAAGUUACUUAAAGUAAAUUAAAUUCAAC